RNAcentral lists this ribosomal RNA (419 nucleotides) under uncultured Prevotella sp. Its description in RNAcentral is "bacterial SSU rRNA". It matches the Rfam family "Bacterial small subunit ribosomal RNA", at positions 358 to 774 of the family's 1533-position model. Lineage: Bacteria; Pseudomonadati; Bacteroidota; Bacteroidia; Bacteroidales; Prevotellaceae. The record is from RNAcentral.
GGAAUAUUGGUCAAUGGCCGAGAGGCUGAACCAGCCAAGUAGCGUGCAGGAAGACGGCCCUAUGGGUUGUAAACUGCUUUUAUGCGGGGAUAAAGUUGGGCACGCGUGCCCAUUUGCAGGUACCGCAUGAAUAAGGACCGGCUAAUUCCGUGCCAGCAGCCGCGGUAAUACGGAAGGUCCGGGCGUUAUCCGGAUUUAUUGGGUUUAAAGGGAGCGCAGGCCGGAGGUCAAGCGUGACGUGAAAUGUAGCCGCUCAACGGCUGAACUGCGUCGCGAACUGGCUUUCUUGAGUGAGUGCGACGUCAGCGGAAUUCGUGGUGUAGCGGUGAAAUGCUUAGAUAUCACGAAGAACCCCGAUUGCGAAGGCAGCUGGCGAGUCCUCUACUGACGCUAAAGCUCGAAGGUGCGGGUAUCGAACA